UGAGACACGGCCCAGACUCCUACGGGAGGCAGCAGUGGGGAAUAUUGCGCAAUGGGCGCAAGCCUGAUGCAGCAACGCCGCGUGAGGGACGACGGCCUUCGGGUUGUAAACCUCUUUUAGUAGGGAAGAAGCGAAAGUGACGGUACCUGCAGAAAAAGCACCGGCUAACUAUGUGCCAGCAGCCGCGGUAAUACGUAGGGUGCAAGUGUUGUCCGGAAUUAUUGGGCGUAAAGAGCUCGUAGGCGGUCUGUCGCGUCUGCUGUGAAAACCCGAGGCUCAACCUCGGGCCUGCAGUGGGUACGGGCAGACUAGAGUGCGGUAGGGGAGAUUGGAAUUCCUGGUGUAGCGGUGGAAUGCGCAGAUAUCAGGAGGAACACCGAUGGCGAAGGCAGAUCUCUGGGCCGUAACUGACGCUGAGGAGCGAAAGCGUGGGGAGCGAACAGGAUUAGAUACCCUGGUAGUCCACGCCGUAAACGUUGGGCGCUAGAUGUGGGGACCAUUCCACGGUUUCCGUGUCGCAGCUAACGCAUUAAGCGCCCCGCCUGGGGAGUACGGCCGCAAGGCUAAAACUCAAAGGAAUUGACGGGGGCCCGCACAAGCGGCGGAGCAUGCGGAUUAAUUCGAUGCAACGCGAAGAACCUUACCAACAA
RNAcentral lists this ribosomal RNA (650 nucleotides) under uncultured Actinomycetes bacterium. RNAcentral's name for it is "bacterial SSU rRNA". It matches the Rfam family "Bacterial small subunit ribosomal RNA", at positions 320 to 980 of the family's 1533-position model. The record is from RNAcentral. Lineage: Bacteria; Bacillati; Actinomycetota; Actinomycetes.